Molecule: transfer RNA, 75 nt
Filed under: Negativicutes bacterium
Lineage: Bacteria; Bacillati; Bacillota; Negativicutes
Description: tRNA-Glu
Rfam family: tRNA
About the family: Transfer RNA (tRNA) molecules are approximately 80 nucleotides in length. Their secondary structure includes four short double-helical elements and three loops (D, anti-codon, and T loops).
Source: RNAcentral
GGCCCGUUGGUCAAGCGGUUAAGACACCGCCCUUUCACGGCGGGAUCAGGGGUUCGAUUCCCCUACGGGUCACCA